GAUGAAGAACGCAGCGAAAUGCGAUAAGUAAUGUGAAUUGCAGAAUUCAGUGAAUCAUCGAAUCUUUGAACGCACAUUGCGCCCGCCAGUAUUCUGGCGGGCAUGCCUGUCCGAGCGUCAUUUCAACCCUCGGGCACCCCUCUGCGGGCGGCCCGGCGUUGGGGCUCAGGCGCCGUCUCUGCUCGGCGCCUGUCCCCUAAAUGCAGUGGCGGCCUCGCCGCUGCCUCCUCCGCGUAGUAGCACAAACCUCGCGGCUGGAAGGCGGCGCGGCCACGCCGUAAAACCCCCCAACUUUACCAAGGUUGACCUCGGAUCAGGUAGGAAUACCCGCUGAACUUAAGCAUAUCAAUAAGCGGAGGA
RNAcentral lists this unclassified non-coding RNA (360 nucleotides) under soil metagenome. Its description in RNAcentral is "partial contains 5.8S ribosomal RNA, internal transcribed spacer 2, and large subunit ribosomal RNA". The stretch from base 1 to 120 matches the Rfam family "5.8S ribosomal RNA", at positions 35 to 154 of the family's 154-position model. The record is from RNAcentral.